GACGAACGCUGGCGGCGUGCUUAACACAUGCAAGUCGAACGGAAGGGCCCUGCUUUUGUGGGGUGCUCGAGUGGCGAACGGGUGAGUAACACGUGAGUAACCUGCCCUUGACUUUGGGAUAACUUCAGGAAACUGGGGCUAAUACCGGAUAGGAGCUCCUGCUGCAUGGUGGGGGUUGGAAAGUUUCGGCGGUUGGGGAUGGAAUCGCGGCUUAUCAGCUUGUUGGUGGGGUAGUGGCUUACCAAGGCUUUGACGGGUAGCCGGCCUGAGAGGGUGACCGGCCACAUUGGGAUUGAGAUACGGCCCAGACUCCUACGGGAGGCAGCAGUGGGGAAUAUUGCACAAUGGGCGGAAGCCUGAUGCAGCAACGCCGCGUGCGGGAUGACGGCCUGCGGGUUGUAAACCGCUUUCGCCUGUGACGAAGCGUGAGUGACGGUAAUGGGUAAAGAAGCACCGGCUAACUACGUG
RNAcentral lists this ribosomal RNA (468 nucleotides) under uncultured bacterium. RNAcentral's name for it is "partial 16S ribosomal RNA". It matches the Rfam family "Bacterial small subunit ribosomal RNA", at positions 28 to 507 of the family's 1533-position model. The record is from RNAcentral.